UGUUCAUCGAUUUAGUAACAGUGCCGGCUCGAGCCAAGCCGGAACUGUGAAAUGACGGUUUUGCGCUUCCUAUCAGCCCUAGGUUUUGCCUUCUUCAGCCUGCGUCCGAUCUUCUUUCGUUUCUCUCGCGCUCCUCUCUCUGAAAUCUGAACUCUCUCAAAUAUCGAUCAAAUCUCUUGAUCGAGAUUGAUCCAGACGCACCGCUUUCAUCUUUCAGUUGCGACUGAGCUGGCAACCUUUUGAUCAAAUCAGAGGAUCCGAUUGAGCAAUCAGAUAUUUUUGAGACUUUGAGCUUCAGCGUUAGCAUCUACAACUGGAGCCCAAGAUGGUAUCUUUGAUAUAACAAAUUUAAAAUAUGGUGGAAAUCCCUACACUUAGUUCAGCGAGGCUUCCAAUAAAGCUUUUGCUGAUGCAUGUGCGGCAACGGCCGUUAGCCAAGUUGUUGUUCAGCCAGGAAGUUCCAAUUAAAAGAAGCAAAGUUCAAAGCUCCGUCUAGCUGAGCUUCUAUAUAUAUAUAAAAGAAAGAGCGGGGAGGAUUUACAACAGUUUAUCAGGUAAAGCACAAGUAUUUCAUGAUUUAGAAUUUUGGAGAUGAUAUGUUGUACGUGGUCAGAAAGAAAAAUUGAAUUAACUACGUGUUUUCCUUAUGAGUUCAUCAAAAUUUUAACUAUCAAAAGACUGUACAGUAGGAAUCCACGUCCAGUUUGAUCAUCAAAUUUGGGGUACUAACCAACAUGAUUGAGCCACCAAUAAAACCUGAUUGCUAAAACUGCAGAUGCAAGACCAAUUGCAUUAGUACAUCAAAUAGAUGAUCUUGAACAUAUGCUCGAACAAUGUC
This is a long non-coding RNA of Rosa rugosa (rugosa rose), 838 nucleotides long. RefSeq lists it as uncharacterized. NCBI's taxonomy places the organism in Eukaryota, Viridiplantae, Streptophyta, Magnoliopsida, Rosales, Rosaceae. The transcript is spliced from 3 exons. The record is from RefSeq and is a predicted model, not a curated record.